GACGAACGCUGGCGGCGUGCUUAACACAUGCAAGUCGAACGGAAAGGCCCUGCUUUUGUGGGGUGCUCGAGUGGCGAACGGGUGAGUAACACGUGAGUAACCUGCCCUUGACUUUGGGAUAACUUCAGGAAACUGGGGCUAAUACCGGAUAGGAGCUCCUGCUGCAUGGUGGGGGUUGGAAAGUUUCGGCGGUUGGGGAUGGACUCGCGGCUUAUCAGCUUGUUGGUGGGGUAGUGGCUUACCAAGGCUUUGACGGGUAGCCGGCCUGAGAGGGUGACCGGCCACAUUGGGACCGAGAUACGGCCCAGACUCCUACGGGAGGCAGCAGUGGGGAAUAUUGCACAAUGGGCGGAAGCCUGAUGCAGCAACGCCGCGUGCGGGAUGACGGCCUUCGGGGUGGAAACCGCUUUCGCCUGUGACGAAGCGUGAGUGACGGUAAUGGGUAAAGAAGCAACGGCUAACUACGUG
Molecule: ribosomal RNA, 468 nt
Filed under: uncultured bacterium
Lineage: Bacteria
Description: partial 16S ribosomal RNA
Rfam family: Bacterial small subunit ribosomal RNA
Source: RNAcentral